Long non-coding RNA from Cervus elaphus (red deer), 305 nucleotides. RefSeq lists it as uncharacterized. The transcript has 3 exons. NCBI's taxonomy places the organism in Eukaryota, Metazoa, Chordata, Mammalia, Artiodactyla, Cervidae. The record is from RefSeq and is a predicted model, not a curated record.
ACUCUAAAGCCUUUAUGCGGGGAGCGGCUUGAAAGAGCUGACUCUGGGAGCUGCCUUGAUUGAUUAUCAAGGGUCUGUUCGCAGACAUAGCUCUCUGUCCCGCCACCCCUCUGGAAUUUACUAUCCGAGUUAACUCCUAACAGACCAUUAGUGAGUCUUGAAUGCACACAAGGUGCAGAUAGAUUGCUUUGCCCGACUGCCCUUAAGAUAAGUAGGAUGCCUUUGGCGCCAUGAGAGAGCUCUGGUGAUUGUUAUCUUAAAGAUGAUGUACAUGGGGAAGAAUUUUCUUUGGGAUGCCUCUCUUC